UGGCUCAGAGGUUAAAGCGCCUGCCUGGAAUGCAGGAGACCCGGGUUCGAUCCCUGG
Molecule: transfer RNA, 57 nt
Filed under: Bos taurus (domestic cattle)
Lineage: Eukaryota; Metazoa; Chordata; Mammalia; Artiodactyla; Bovidae
Also listed under: 2 other names
Rfam family: tRNA
About the family: Transfer RNA (tRNA) molecules are approximately 80 nucleotides in length. Their secondary structure includes four short double-helical elements and three loops (D, anti-codon, and T loops).
Source: Rfam by way of RNAcentral